CCUACGGGUGGCUGCAGUGGGGAAUAUUGGACAAUGGGCGAAAGCCUGAUCCAGCCAUGCCGCGUGUGUGAAGAAGGCCUUCGGGUUGUAAAGCACUUUCAGUGGGGAAGAAAGCCUUGGGGCUAAUACCCUCGAGGAAGGACAUCACCCACAGAAGAAGCACCGGCUAACUCCGUGCCAGCAGCCGCGGUAAUACGGAGGGUGCGAGCGUUAAUCGGAAUUACUGGGCGUAAAGCGCGCGUAGGCGGUCUGAUAAGCCGGUUGUGAAAGCCCCGGGCUCAACCUGGGAACGGCAUCCGGAACUGUCAGGCUAGAGUGCACGAGAGGAAGGUAGAAUUCCCGGUGUAGCGGUGAAAUGCGUAGAGAUCGGGAGGAAUACCAGUGGCGAAGGCGGCCUUCUGGACUGACACUGACGCUGAGGUGCGAAAGCGUGGGUAGCAAACAGGAUUAGAUACCCUGGUAGUC
Molecule: ribosomal RNA, 465 nt
Filed under: Vreelandella stevensii
Lineage: Bacteria; Pseudomonadati; Pseudomonadota; Gammaproteobacteria; Oceanospirillales; Halomonadaceae
Description: partial 16S ribosomal RNA
Rfam family: Bacterial small subunit ribosomal RNA
Source: RNAcentral